GCCAACGUGGCCUAGUGGUUUGAGUGUUGGACUAGGACUCUGGAGACCAAGGUCCAAUUCCUCACUCGGCC
Non-coding RNA from Phrynosoma platyrhinos (Desert horned lizard), 71 nucleotides. The record is from the annotation of a GenBank genome assembly. Lineage: Eukaryota; Metazoa; Chordata; Lepidosauria; Squamata; Phrynosomatidae.